GGAAACCUAUUUGAGCAUGAAUUGAGAUCAUAGAGGUCCCCAAGCUCAAGGACAAGUUGAAAGUUUUCCUAUCGUUCGAAUUUUAGUGAGCAUUGAAACUUAGGUCAACUUCAAUCGACCAUUACUUUUUGUAUAUAUUGAAUUAGAGUGCCUACUAUAUAUCAAAUGAAAGGUAUUCGAAUUAUCUUUCCAAAGAUACCAAUUUUGCAAAAAUUCAACACCUGAG
Molecule: long non-coding RNA, 226 nt
Filed under: Capsicum annuum
Lineage: Eukaryota; Viridiplantae; Streptophyta; Magnoliopsida; Solanales; Solanaceae
Description: long non-coding RNA (CANN_LNC018414)
Source: RNAcentral